Non-coding RNA from Elaeis guineensis (African oil palm), 762 nucleotides. The record is from RefSeq and is a predicted model, not a curated record. Lineage: Eukaryota; Viridiplantae; Streptophyta; Magnoliopsida; Arecales; Arecaceae.
UCUCACUGAUUUAAUUUUAUGUAUUAUGCAAUGUUUAUUAAUAUCUAGGUUCUGAGUCAUUGCAACAUUUACCAUAACUGUUACCAUCCAGCCUUAUCCUAGCUAUUCGGGGUUGGAUUUGUGGAUCCUCAUUUGCCAAGAUCAAAAAUUUUGGUCCAUGUCGUAAUUUGACAUAUGUUAAUGUUUGUCUGUCAGCCUAACAUCAAUCCUUCACCCUUCUCAUAUGGGCCAGCCAUGAAGGUGUUCUUCAUCUCUUGGAAGUACAUUUCCAAUCCCUUGUGUUGUAUGGUAUAUGCCAUAGUGGUCACGAACUUUACAAGGAUUACAAGAUUCAUCGAGAUGAGAUUCAUACAAAGCUGGUUCAGAUAAUGAGGGAAAGAUUGUUGGCAAAUCUUCGCAAGCUACCUCAAAUUGUUGAGAGUUGGAAUGCACUGGAGGAUAAUGAUUUACAACCUAGUCAUUUUGCUCGAUCAGUCACCAAGGAAGUUACAUAUCUCCAUCGUAUUUUGUCUCAAACACUGCUUGAGGCUGAUGUUCAAGCAAUUUUCAGGUGAAGAAUUUGACAUGUAUAAAAUCAAUAACCUUGAAGUCCAUGUUCAGUGUCAGAUGAAUGCUUUGUUAGGUUUGAUGCAUAUCCCUCUUUUCAUUGGUAGGAACAUGACUUGAAAUAGAAUUACACUAGGAUAAAGAAAACUAAUAUGUUAUUAAUCAAGGCUGUUAAAUGGGAGAAUGUGUGUAGAUCUACAGUUGGGACUUGAUAUC